ACGGGUGAGUAACACGUGGGAACGUGCCCUUUGGUUCGGAAUAACUCAGGGAAACUUGAGCUAAUACCGGAUGAGCCCUACGGGGGAAAGAUUUAUCGCCGAAGGAGCGGCCCGCGUCUGAUUAGCUAGUUGGUGAGGUAAAGGCUCACCAAGGCUACGAUCAGUAGCUGGUCUGAGAGGAUGAUCAGCCACACUGGGACUGAGACACGGCCCAGACUCCUACGGGAGGCAGCAGUGGGGAAUCUUGCGCAAUGGGCGAAAGCCUGACGCAGCCAUGCCGCGUGGAUGAUGAAGGUCUUAGGAUUGUAAAAUCCUUUCACCGGGGACGAUAAUGACGGUACCCGGAGAAGAAGCCCCGGCUAACUUCGUGCCAGCAGCCGCGGUAAUACGAAGGGGGCUAGCGUUGCUCGGAAUUACUGGGCGUAAAGGGCGCGUAGGCGGACAGUUAAGUCGGGGGUGAAAGCCCGGGGCUCAACCUCGGAAUUGCCUUCGAUACUGGCUGUCUUGAGUGCGGGAGAGGUGUGUGGAACUCCGAGUGUAGAGGUGAAAUUCGUAGA
This 557-nucleotide ribosomal RNA is filed under the name uncultured bacterium. RNAcentral describes it as "bacterial SSU rRNA". It matches the Rfam family "Bacterial small subunit ribosomal RNA", at positions 102 to 694 of the family's 1533-position model. The record is from RNAcentral.